AUUUUCUGGCUGCGCUCGAAGAUGGCCUGGGCAUCUUUAUCCUUCUCUGUGUCCAGUUCAUACACUGCUGUGGCCCCCAUGUCUUCUGGGCCAACAGGUUUCGCCGACCUUGUUGAUUUGUACGUGACUCCGAUCUCCUUCGACGGAUCAUCAUCAUCGCUGCUGCUCAGCGCAUACGAGGGCCGCUCCUUCGUGCACCUCCUGGUCUUCUGGAUCAUGGGGUUGGGGGUCUCCCGCCGCCGCUCCUUCCGCACCACCGUGCUGCCCUCCUCGCCGCUGCUCUCCUGCUCCUGGUCGCUGCUGGGCCGCUUCCGCCGACCCCUCCCCGCCGCCAGGCCCCGUUUCUUGAAGACGAAGCUGCACACUGAGCCCUCCUCCGCCAUCUUCCGCCGCCGCCG
This 398-nucleotide long non-coding RNA is filed under the name Gallus gallus (chicken). The record is from RNAcentral. Lineage: Eukaryota; Metazoa; Chordata; Aves; Galliformes; Phasianidae.